RNAcentral lists this unclassified non-coding RNA (458 nucleotides) under Hevea brasiliensis (rubber tree). The record is from RNAcentral. Lineage: Eukaryota; Viridiplantae; Streptophyta; Magnoliopsida; Malpighiales; Euphorbiaceae.
AAAGAACGUCGCAUAAAGAGCAAUGUGCUGAGAGGUUAGCAGCUGAAGAUGGAAGUUCAGAUAAAGAUGCAGAAGUUCGAUACUCUGAUCAAGCAGUUUUAGCUAAUUUAGACUGGGGAAUUGAUGCACUUGAAGAGGCAAUCAACACAUCAAACAUUGAAACUAAGAUGGCUAGAUUAGAUUACGCGGAAAAAAUGUUACAAGUGUGUGCUAUGUUGGACUCUAGCCAGAAAACUGCAGGGGUGCCUAAUUUCUAUCUAUCUGCUUGGGCUCAUUUGAACCUAUCUUACUUAUGGAAGUUGAGAAACAACGUAAACAAUACGGUACUUCAUAUCCUGGAGAUGUUUAUUAUUGAUCCUUUCUUCUCGCGGAUAGAUUUUGCACCUGAGCUUUGGAAAUGUCUGUUUCUUCCACACAUGAGCUCAAUUGUAGGGUGGUACUCGGAGGAGAGACACCGG